This is a long non-coding RNA of Gorilla gorilla gorilla (western lowland gorilla), 682 nucleotides long. RefSeq lists it as uncharacterized. The transcript has 2 exons. NCBI's taxonomy places the organism in Eukaryota, Metazoa, Chordata, Mammalia, Primates, Hominidae. The record is from RefSeq and is a predicted model, not a curated record.
UUGAGUCUGAAUGGUUCAAGCAAUAGCAAAAAAGGAUUAUUUCUCUCUUGGACAUUUCAAAGUACUAUGCCACAAAAUAUCCAAGACUUGUUAUGCAGGAGGAGGCUUGCUCACAGGGUGGUUACAGGCAUCCAAGAGAGUCAGCAUAAAUGUGAAAAGUUUCCAAAAUAUCAGAUUCAGUCCUAUGUAAUCUGGUUUCCAUUGCAUUCUCUUGGCCAAAGCAACUUGCAAGACAAGUCCAAAUUCAAGAAGGUCAAGAAAUACACUCCAUCUCCAGGUAGGAGAAGCUGCAAAGAACUGUGACAAUCUAUGACAAAUAGUAUGUUCAAGGGGAAUAAUAUGGGAAGAUGUGCCCUCCACCAACUUCUCAGGGAAAAAUACAGCUUUUGUAAUAUUUAGUAAUAUAGACUGUCUAAUAUUUCUAGAGAUAUCUAUGACUUUGAGUUGAAAUAUCUGAGGCCAACACUCCAAGCAAUUUUAAACAAGUGGUGACAGAAAUUACCAGACACACAUCAAGACUCAAGUAUAAAGCUAUACAAUUUAAGGAUGCUCAGCAAAUGUUACUGAAUUGACUGGGUAGUCCCUAAAGAGCUGAAGAAUAAAAGAUGUUAUGAGAAACCCAACAAUACCAAAUAUAAAUUGCCUCAGGUUAUGAAAUAUUCAAUAAAGUAUUCUUACUGUA